GAUUAUGGCUACAGAAUGAACGCUGGCGGCAUGGAUUAGGCAUGCAAGUCGAACGUACUCCCUUCGGGGAGAAAGUGGCGAAAGGGUGAGUAACACGUGAGCAACCUGCCUCCGGAUCCGGAAUAAUCCAGGGAAACUUGGUCUAAAACCGGAUGAAGACAUUUGGGCCGCAUGGUCUGGUGUUAAAAUAUUUAUAGUCCGGAGAGGGGCUCGCGGCCCAUUAGCUUGUUGGCGGGGUAAUGGCCCACCAAGGCUACGACGGGUAGGUGGUCUGAGAGGAUGGUCACCCACACUGGGACUGAGACACUGCCCAGACUCCUACGGGAGGCUGCAGUCGAGAAUCUUCCGCAAUGGGCGCAAAGCCUGACGGAGCGAUGCCGCGUGAGGGAUGAAGGCCUUCGGGUUGUAAACCUCUGUCAUCCGGGACGAAAACAAUGACGGUACCGGAAAAGGAAGCCACGGCUAACCACGUGCCAGCCGCCGC
Molecule: ribosomal RNA, 484 nt
Filed under: uncultured bacterium
Lineage: Bacteria
Description: bacterial SSU rRNA
Rfam family: Bacterial small subunit ribosomal RNA
Source: RNAcentral